UAGAGUUUGAUCAUGGCUCAGGAUGAACGCUGGCGGCGUGCCUAAUACAUGCAAGUCGAACGCACAGCGAAAGGUGCUUGCACCUUUCAAGUGAGUGGCGAACGGGUGAGUAACACGUGGACAACCUGCCUCAAGGCUGGGGAUAACAUUUGGAAACAGAUGCUAAUACCGAAUAAAACUUAGUGUCGCAUGACACAAAGUUAAAAGGCGCUUCGGCGUCACCUAGAGAUGGAUCCGCGGUGCAUUAGUUAGUUGGUGGGGUAAAGGCCUACCAAGACAAUGAUGCAUAGCCGAGUUGAGAGACUGAUCGGCCACAUUGGGACUGAGACACGGCCCAAACUCCUACGGGAGGCUGCAGUAGGGAAUCUUCCACAAUGGGCGAAAGCCUGAUGGAGCAACGCCGCGUGUGUGAUGAAGGCUUUCGGGUCGUAAAGCACUGUUGUAUGGGAAGAACAGCUAGAAUAGGAAAUGAUUUUAGUUUGACGGUACCAUACCAGAAAGGGACGGCUAAAUACGUGCCAGCAGCCGCGGUAAUACGUAUGUCCCGAGCGUUAUCCGGAUUUAUUGGGCGUAAAGCGAGCGCAGACGGUUUAUUAAGUCUGAUGUGAAAGCCCGGAGCUCAACUCCGGAAUGGCAUUGGAAACUGGUUAACUUGAGUGCAGUAGAGGUAAGUGGAACUCCAUGUGUAGCGGUGGAAUGCGUAGAUAUAUGGAAGAACACCAGUGGCGAAGGCGGCUUACUGGACUGCAACUGACGUUGAGGCUCGAAAGUGUGGGUAGCAAACAGGAUUAGAUACCCUGGUAGUCCACACCGUAAACGAUGAACACUAGGUGUUAGGAGGUUUCCGCCUCUUAGUGCCGAAGCUAACGCAUUAAGUGUUCCGCCUGGGGAGUACGACCGCAAGGUUGAAACUCAAAGGAAUUGACGGGGACCCGCACAAGCGGUGGAGCAUGUGGUUUAAUUCGAAGCAACGCGAAGAACCUUACCAGGUCUUGACAUCCUUUGAAGCUUUUAGAGAUAGAAGUGUUCUCUUCGGAGACAAAGUGACAGGUGGUGCAUGGUCGUCGUCAGCUCGUGUCGUGAGAUGUUGGGUUAAGUCCCGCAACGAGCGCAACCCUUAUUGUUAGUUGCCAGCAUUCAGAUGGGCACUCUAGCGAGACUGCCGGUGACAAACCGGAGGAAGGCGGGGACGACGUCAGAUCAUCAUGCCCCUUAUGACCUGGGCUACACACGUGCUACAAUGGCGUAUACAACGAGUUGCCAACCCGCGAGGGUGAGCUAAUCUCUUAAAGUACGUCUCAGUUCGGAUUGUAGUCUGCAACUCGACUACAUGAAGUCGGAAUCGCUAGUAAUCGCGGAUCAGCACGCCGCGGUGAAUACGUUCCCGGGUCUUGUACACACCGCCCGUCACACCAUGGGAGUUUGUAAUGCCCAAAGCCGGUGGCCUAACCUUUUAGGAAGGAGCCGUCUAAGGCAGGACAGAUGACUGGGGUGAAGUCGUAACAAGGUAGCCGUAGGAGAACCUGCGGUUGGAUCACC
This 1539-nucleotide ribosomal RNA is filed under the name Leuconostoc mesenteroides. RNAcentral's name for it is "bacterial SSU rRNA". It matches the Rfam family "Bacterial small subunit ribosomal RNA". Lineage: Bacteria; Bacillati; Bacillota; Bacilli; Lactobacillales; Lactobacillaceae. The record is from RNAcentral.